GCCGCUGUAGCUCAGCCUGGUUAGAGCGUUACGCUCAUAACGUAAAGGUCGUGGAUUCAAAUUCCGCCAGCGGCA
This 75-nucleotide transfer RNA is filed under the name Candidatus Woesearchaeota archaeon. RNAcentral's name for it is "tRNA-Met". It matches the Rfam family "tRNA". From Rfam's summary of the family: Transfer RNA (tRNA) molecules are approximately 80 nucleotides in length. The record is from RNAcentral. Lineage: Archaea; Nanobdellati; Candidatus Woesearchaeota.